Molecule: ribosomal RNA, 497 nt
Filed under: uncultured bacterium
Lineage: Bacteria
Description: partial 16S ribosomal RNA
Rfam family: Bacterial small subunit ribosomal RNA
Source: RNAcentral
GAUGAACGCUGGCGGCGUGCCUAAUACAUGCAAGUCGAGCGAACGGACGAGAAGCUUGCUUCUCUGAUGUUAGCGGCGGACGGGUGAGUAACACGUGGAUAACCUACAUAUAAGACUGGGAUAACUUCGGGAAACCGGAGCUAAUACCGGAUAAUAUUUUGAACCGCAUGGUUCAAAAGUGAAAGACGGUCUUGCUGUCACUUAUAGAUAGAUCCGCGCUGCAUUAGCUAGUUGGUAAGGUAACGGCUUACCAAGGCAACGAUGCAUAGCCGACCUGAGAGGGUGAUCGGCCACACUGGAACUGAGACACGGUCCAGACUCCUACGGGAGGCAGCAGUAGGGAAUCUUCCGCAAUGGGCGAAAGCCUGACGGAGCAACGCCGCGUGAGUGAUGAAGGUCUUCGGAUCUUAAAACUCUGUUAUUAGGGAAGAACAUAUGUGUAAGUAACUGUGCACAUCUUGACGGUACCUAAUCAGAAAGCCACGGCUAACUACGUG